Molecule: non-coding RNA, 201 nt
Filed under: Gongylonema pulchrum
Lineage: Eukaryota; Metazoa; Nematoda; Chromadorea; Rhabditida; Gongylonematidae
Description: Eukaryotic large subunit ribosomal RNA
Rfam family: Eukaryotic large subunit ribosomal RNA
Source: Rfam by way of RNAcentral
UAGCGGGGAAAGAAGACUCUGUUGAGGUUGACCCCAGUCCGACUCUAUGAGGAGCCCUGAAAGGUGUAGCUUAAGUGGAAGGCAUUUUGUCGCUGAUGAAAUACCACUACUUUCAUCGGUUCUUUAAGAGGAGAAUUGAGACGUAGCAGUCUCAAAAUUUUCGAUUUAAGUAUAGCCAAUUGACGGCCGUGUGACUCGCAC